RNAcentral lists this long non-coding RNA (297 nucleotides) under Mytilus galloprovincialis (Mediterranean mussel). Lineage: Eukaryota; Metazoa; Mollusca; Bivalvia; Mytilida; Mytilidae. The record is from RNAcentral.
ACAAUUAUAAAUGUCUUGCAUGUUGAACUCUUUACAGAUUUCACAAAACAGUGAAUAUUCAAUAACCAACCUUUUUUACGGCUGCACAUGAAAUAAAAAUGACAAAACACGUUGCACGAAUAUAACCCUUUACCAUCCUUGUUAUUGUUGUAGAAACUAAGUCAGCCUUAUGCAAUUGAGCAAAGGAAUUACAUCUUUAGCUCAGUCAUUCGAUAUACACGCUACCUUGUUACACAGAGGUUGUGGGUUUGAGUCUCUGAUGAGACAAAGAUGAUUUUGUAAGAAACAUUGGCACCC